Molecule: ribosomal RNA, 130 nt
Filed under: uncultured Isochrysis
Lineage: Eukaryota; Haptophyta; Isochrysidales
Description: partial Archaeal small subunit ribosomal RNA
Source: RNAcentral
GUAUGGCAACGCCGAGAUGGAGCCGCCCGACUCGGACUUCUCGGAGGAGAGCGACUCGGACUUCUCGGACAUCGACUGAAGACUGCUUACCGGCGCGUUAGUGGCACGGGGCAGCGCCGCCGCUGGCCGG